Molecule: long non-coding RNA, 387 nt
Organism: Ailuropoda melanoleuca (giant panda)
Lineage: Eukaryota; Metazoa; Chordata; Mammalia; Carnivora; Ursidae
Exons: 4
Source: RefSeq, a predicted model, not a curated record
GGAGAAAUUGCCCAGGCUGGUGGGGGUGGUCGCCGAGACGGUGGACAGGAGUGCAGCCUGGGGGACUGCACCCAGGACAGCACCAGCGAUACGGACCCAGAGCAGAGCCAGAGCCCGUGGAUGUGACCACCACCCUGAGAUGUUCAUGAAAAGCCCCUCCCAUGGAAUGACCACUGAGCCACCAGCCCCACGCAGAAGGCGCGGCCCUGACCUGGAGGCCUCUGUCCUCACAAGCAGCCGGAUGCGCAGCCCAGCCGCAGCAGCCCCCAGACCAUCGAUUAUCUGGCCGGAGAGCAGCUUCCGGGUCCAGCCCCAGGCUCGGCCGGGGCCAGCGGGGUCGAGUCCCAGAGCCCUUGGUGCCAGCCCCUCCCACUCUCUCCCCUCAGG